This 148-nucleotide small nuclear RNA is filed under the name Otolemur garnettii (small-eared galago). RNAcentral's name for it is "U2 spliceosomal RNA". It matches the Rfam family "U2 spliceosomal RNA". Rfam says of the family: U2 is a small nuclear RNA (snRNA) component of the spliceosome (involved in pre-mRNA splicing). Complementary binding between U2 snRNA (in an area lying towards the 5' end but 3' to hairpin I) and the branchpoint sequence (BPS) of the intron results the bulging out of an unpaired adenosine, on the BPS, which initiates a nucleophilic attack at the intronic 5' splice site, thus starting the first of two transesterification reactions that mediate splicing. Lineage: Eukaryota; Metazoa; Chordata; Mammalia; Primates; Galagidae. The record is from Rfam by way of RNAcentral.
ACAGCUUCUCAGCCUUUUGGCUUAGAUCAAGUGUAGAAACAGCCCUAUUAUCACCAUUUUCAAAGUGAGAUCUCUCCAGGGCUUGCUUAUGAAGGUUCAAUGCUGUAUCUGAGAUUCUGAGUCUAGUUUAAAAACAAAGCAAUGUUCU